Molecule: unclassified non-coding RNA, 279 nt
Filed under: plant metagenome
Description: partial contains small subunit ribosomal RNA, internal transcribed spacer 1, and 5.8S ribosomal RNA
Source: RNAcentral
UUUCCGUAGGUGAACCUGCGGAAGGAUCAUUAUUGUAUAACCGAGUUGCUAUGGCUGUCGCUGACCCGAAUGGUCGUGCAUGCCCGAGUGCCCUGACACUCAUCCAUUUUACCCCUAUUUGCACCACCUCUUGGGUCCCCCUUUGGUUUUUUCGGGGGGGGUCUUACUUUUUCACACAAACCUUUUAUGCAUUGUAGAAUGGAUUUUUUGUUUUUGUCAGCACGCAACAAAUAUAACUUUCAACAACAGAUCUCUUGCCUCUCUCACCGAUGAUGAACG